Molecule: ribosomal RNA, 117 nt
Filed under: Chitinophagaceae bacterium
Lineage: Bacteria; Pseudomonadati; Bacteroidota; Chitinophagia; Chitinophagales; Chitinophagaceae
Description: partial 16S ribosomal RNA
Rfam family: Bacterial small subunit ribosomal RNA
Source: RNAcentral
GCCUGAGCCAACCCGCAAGGGAGGCAGGGUCCCAAGGAGUGACCGGUAACUGGGGUGAAGUCGUAACAAGGUAGCCGUAGGGGAACCUGCGGCUGGAUCACCUCCUUUCUAAGGAGA